GAGUUUGAUCUUGGCUCAGAUUGAACGCUGGCGGCAUGCCUUACACAUGCAAGUCGAACGGCAGCACGGGAGCUUGCUCCUGGUGGCGAGUGGCGAACGGGUGAGUAAUGCAUCGGAACGUAUCCUGGAGUGGGGGAUAACGUAGCGAAAGUUACGCUAAUACCGCAUAUUCUGUGAGCAGGAAAGCGGGGGACCUUCGGGCCUCGCGCUCUUGGAGCGGCCGAUGUCGGAUUAGCUAGUUGGUGAGGUAAAGGCUCACCAAGGCGACGAUCCGUAGCAGGUCUGAGAGGAUGAUCUGCCACACUGGAACUGAGACACGGUCCAGACUCCUACGGGAGGCAGCAGUGGGGAAUUUUGGACAAUGGGCGAAAGCCUGAUCCAGCCAUGCCGCGUGUGUGAAGAAGGUCUUCGGAUUGUAAAGCACUUUAAGUUGGGAGGAAGGGCAGUAAGUUAAUACCUUGCUGUUUUGACGUUACGACAGAAUAAGCACCGGCUAACUCUGUGCCAG
This 508-nucleotide ribosomal RNA is filed under the name bacterium enrichment culture clone ALO1_GLFRUDD03F7NJF. RNAcentral's name for it is "bacterial SSU rRNA". It matches the Rfam family "Bacterial small subunit ribosomal RNA", at positions 9 to 511 of the family's 1533-position model. The record is from RNAcentral.